This 68-nucleotide transfer RNA is filed under the name Semnopithecus vetulus (purple-faced leaf monkey). RNAcentral describes it as "Trachypithecus vetulus (purple-faced leaf monkey) tRNA-Pro". The record is from RNAcentral. Lineage: Eukaryota; Metazoa; Chordata; Mammalia; Primates; Cercopithecidae.
CAGAAAGUAGUUUAGAUNAGAACGCCAAUUUUGGGUAUUGGUGGAGAAGUUAGGUGCUUUCUUUCUGA